GAGAGGUGGCCGAGCGGCUUAAGGCGCUGGUCUCGAAAACCAGUAUACUCUUAUGGGGUAUCGUGGGUUCAAAUCCCACCCUCUCC
This 86-nucleotide transfer RNA is filed under the name marine eukaryotic metagenome. It matches the Rfam family "tRNA". From Rfam's summary of the family: Transfer RNA (tRNA) molecules are approximately 80 nucleotides in length. Their secondary structure includes four short double-helical elements and three loops (D, anti-codon, and T loops). Further hydrogen bonds mediate the characteristic L-shaped molecular structure. tRNAs have two regions of fundamental functional importance: the anti-codon, which is responsible for specific mRNA codon recognition, and the 3' end, to which the tRNAs corresponding amino acid is attached (by aminoacyl-tRNA synthetases). tRNAs cope with the degeneracy of the genetic code in two manners: having more than one tRNA (with a specific anti-codon) for a particular amino acid; and 'wobble' base-pairing, i.e. permitting non-standard base-pairing at the 3rd anti-codon position. The record is from RNAcentral.